Molecule: ribosomal RNA, 999 nt
Filed under: Shigella flexneri
Lineage: Bacteria; Pseudomonadati; Pseudomonadota; Gammaproteobacteria; Enterobacterales; Enterobacteriaceae
Description: partial 23S ribosomal RNA
Rfam family: Bacterial large subunit ribosomal RNA
Source: RNAcentral
AACGGUCCUAAGGUAGCGAAAUUCCUUGUCGGGUAAGUUCCGACCUGCACGAAUGGCGUAAUGAUGGCCAGGCUGUCUCCACCCGAGACUCAGUGAAAUUGAACUCGCUGUGAAGAUGCAGUGUACCCGCGGCAAGACGGAAAGACCCCGUGAACCUUUACUAUAGCUUGACACUGAACAUUGAGCCUUGAUGUGUAGGAUAGGUGGGAGGCUUUGAAGUGUGGACGCCAGUCUGCAUGGAGCCGGCCUUGAAAUACCACCCUUUAAUGUUUGAUGUUCUAACGUGGACCCGUGAUCCGGGUUGCGGACAGUGUCUGGUGGGUAGUUUGACUGGGGCGGUCUCCUCCUAAAGAGUAACGGAGGAGCACGAAGGUUGGCUAAUCCUGGUCGGACAUCAGGAGGUUAGUGCAAUGGCAUAAGCCAGCUUGACUGCGAGCGUGACGGCGCGAGCAGGUGCGAAAGCAGGUCAUAGUGAUCCGGUGGUUCUGAAUGGAAGGGCCAUCGCUCAACGGAUAAAAGGUACUCCGGGGAUAACAGGCUGAUACCGCCCAAGAGUUCAUAUCGACGGCGGUGUUUGGCACCUCGAUGUCGGCUCAUCACAUCCUGGGGCUGAAGUAGGUCCCAAGGGUAUGGCUGUUCGCCAUUUAAAGUGGUACGCGAGCUGGGUUUAGAACGUCGUGAGACAGUUCGGUCCCUAUCUGCCGUGGGCGCUGGAGAACUGAGGGGGGCUGCUCCUAGUACGAGAGGACCGGAGUGGACGCAUCACUGGUGUUCGGGUUGUCAUGCCAAUGGCACUGCCCGGUAGCUAAAUGCGGAAGAGAUAAGUGCUGAAAGCAUCUAAGCACGAAACUUGCCCCGAGAUGAGUUCUCCCUGACCCUUUAAGGGUCCUGAAGGAACGUUGAAGACGACGACGUUGAUAGGCCGGGUGUGUAAGCGCAGCGAUGCGUUGAGCUAACCGGUACUAAUGAACCGUGAGGCUUAACCUUACAACGCCGAAG